GGGUAUAGCUCAAUGGUAGAGUGUGUGCUUAGCAUGCAUGAGGUCCUGGGUUCAGUCCCCAGUAUAUCCA
This 70-nucleotide transfer RNA is filed under the name Camelus bactrianus (Bactrian camel). It matches the Rfam family "tRNA". Rfam says of the family: Transfer RNA (tRNA) molecules are approximately 80 nucleotides in length. Their secondary structure includes four short double-helical elements and three loops (D, anti-codon, and T loops). The record is from Rfam by way of RNAcentral. RNAcentral also lists the same sequence under 2 other names. Lineage: Eukaryota; Metazoa; Chordata; Mammalia; Artiodactyla; Camelidae.